Pelobates cultripes (western spadefoot toad) is the source of this 230-nucleotide non-coding RNA. The record is from the annotation of a GenBank genome assembly. NCBI's taxonomy places the organism in Eukaryota, Metazoa, Chordata, Amphibia, Anura, Pelobatidae.
AAACGUUUGGUUGAAGUUAUUGCUGCCAAAGGAGGUUCAACCAGUUAUUAAAUCCAAGGGUUCACAUACUUGUUCCACCUGCACUGUGAAUGUUUACAUGGUGUGUUCAAUAAAAAUGUGACAACAUUGAAUUCUUUGUGUGUUAUUAGUUUAAGCAGACUGUGAUUGUCUAAUGUUGUUACUUAGAUGAUGAUCAGAUCACAUAUUAUGACCAAUUUGUGCAGAAAUCC